This 238-nucleotide long non-coding RNA is filed under the name Coturnix japonica (Japanese quail). RNAcentral's name for it is "lncRNA (ENSCJPG00005007694.1)". The record is from RNAcentral. Lineage: Eukaryota; Metazoa; Chordata; Aves; Galliformes; Phasianidae.
CGAUUGGAGCUGCCAUUAAACAAAUCACGGCCUCAGACCCCUUUGUGAUAGCGGAUCUGCGAGGGCAGAAAGCGAAGGCUGUAAUUCAUCCCGCACAGUUUAGAUGCUCUGUGCCUUCAGGCUGCCCCCGGGAGCUCCCAGCCACGGAGAAACCCAGCGAGAUGCAUUGGAGGAUCAUCAGGAUCAUCGCUAAUUACCCCCCGUUCUGAUAGGGAUAAUUAAGGGCACACGAGGCGAG